UGGGGAAUAUUGGACAAUGGGCGCAAGCCUGCUCCAGCCAUGCCGCGUGAGUGAUGAAGGCCCUAGGGUUGUAAAGCUCUUUCACCGGUGAAGAUAAUGACGGUAACCGGAGAAGAAGCCCCGGCUAACUUCGUGCCAGUAGCCGCGGUAAUACGAAGGGGGCUAGCGUUGUUCGGCUUUACUGGGCGUAAAGCGCACGUAGGCGGACUUUUAAGUCAGGGGUGAAAUCCCGGGGCUCAACCCCGGAACUGCCUUUGAUACUGGAAGUCUUGAGUAUGGUAGAGGUGAGUGGAAUUCCGAGUGUAGAGGUGAAAUUCGUAGAUAUUCGGAGGAACACCAGUGGCGAAGGCGGCUCACUGGACCAUUACUGACGCUAAAGUGCGAAAGCGUGGAGAGCAAGCAGG
RNAcentral lists this ribosomal RNA (404 nucleotides) under Actinomycetes bacterium. RNAcentral's name for it is "Actinobacteria bacterium partial 16S ribosomal RNA". It matches the Rfam family "Bacterial small subunit ribosomal RNA", at positions 355 to 776 of the family's 1533-position model. Lineage: Bacteria; Bacillati; Actinomycetota; Actinomycetes. The record is from RNAcentral.